UGCGAAGGGACGCCGCGCGCCGGGACCGUUGCGCAUGCGCGCGGGGGCCCGUGAGCCCUUGCGAGCAGCCGCACCGGGGACCCCAGGACCCCAGGCCGGGGCUGAGGGCGCUUUCGAACCGCACGGAAUGGAAACGCGCGCGUUCGCUGCGAUUUGACACUUGGUUUGAAGGGAAGACCUUGGUUUUCCUUCCUCGUUCCUAAACCGGUAAAACCGCCCUACUGGAAUGACUCCUAGAGAUCAUCUCGGCCAACCACCUCGUUUUUAUUAAUGAAGCGACUGAGAAGACGGGAGGUGACGGAGGUGGGGCGCAGAGGCCAGGGGUGGUUAGCGGGAGUAGACUUUGGAUUCGAGGGAACGGGGUUUGACCUGUGUGAACAUGGGCACGUAACUGGGUUUCCUUGAGCUUUAGUUUUCCUCAGCUCCCUCGCAGGUUGUGGGUCAUAGGACCGACCUCCUCAAUUUGUUUGGAAAAGCAUGAAGGGGCGCCUGGGUGGCUCAGUGGGUUGAGCACUGGACUCUUGAUUUUGGCUCAGGUCAUGAUCCCCGCGUUUUGUGAUCAAGCCCCAAGCCUGCAUAGGAUUCUUUCUCUCCCUCUGCCCCUCUCCCCUGCUCUCUCUCUCUCUCCCCUCUCUCUCAAAUAACAACAUAACAUGAAAACACUAGCAAAGAGAGCCGAGCACACAGAAAGUGUUCAGUAAGUGCUAGCUUAAAGUCUGGUAAUGCCAGAGUCCAGGGCUCUUGCCGCCGCGGCUCACUCUCAACAGCUCACCUAUCUGGGGCGGCCCAUUGUGAGUGAGCUGUUGGAGAAGGUCAGGGAUUCCUCCGACCUCGCACCUAGUCUGGUUUUGAGCUAAUGCCACAGGUGUCAGAGUUUGCGGAGGGGAGAGGCGGGUGGGAGGCAGGCUCAAAUGCCUCAGCCCUGUCCCACCUCCGUCUUGCCGCCACCGGGCUCUCUUGACCAAGAAAAGAGUCCACAUUCUUAGGAGAGAGGAACAAAAUGAGAGGAAUAAUUAGCCUGAGCUUCCAGUGAUAAGAGGGCACUUGGCAGGUGUUCUUGAUGAUUCUCUUCACCUUUCCUCCCCUUUCUCAACUUGUCCUGUUUUUUCGUUUGAGGGAGAGAGAGAGAGCGCGAGCGAGCGAGAGCGCAAACACCAGCAGGGGAGAGUGGUGGAGGGAGAGAGUGCGAGCGAGCAAGAGACGCCUAAGCAGGCUCCACAUUUCGGGGCAUAGACUGUUGAGGGGCCUGAUCCAGGACCCUGAGAUCGUGACCCGAGCCAGAAUCAAGAGCCGGAAGCUCAACCGGCUGAGCCACCCGGGCGCCCCUCAACUUGCACUUUUAUAACUAAUGAAAGUUCUCUUUACAACUCCGAAUUGUGUGUGUGGGGGGGGGGGGGAUGCCGAGAGACAUUCUCUGCAUUAAAAAAUAAGUAGUGGGGAUGCCUGGGUGGUGCAGUCGGUUGAGCGACGACUUCGGCUCAGGUCAUGAUCUCACAGUGUGUGAGUUUGAGCCCCCCAUGGGCCUUGCUGCUGUCAGCGCAGAGCCCGCUUGGGAUCCUCUCAGCCCCCCUCUCUCUGCCCCUCCCCCACUCCCGCUCUCAAAGAUAAGCAUUAAAAAAAUAAUGAAAAGAACCACUUGCACCUUUCCUUUUUCCUGCAUUGGUGCCUGAUGAAGAAUUUAGAGUAAAUUAAAACUAGUCGCUGCUGUCCAAAGGGGUAGCUUUUAAAUCAGUCCUAAUUGGAACACCAGGUGGUUUCAACAGAGCCUGAGUUGGCCCCGGUGAUUCUGGCAAUGACAAGAGAUGGUGAAAAUCACCACAACUAUUUAGGAAGAAAAGCUUCAGCACAAGAUCUCAGUUGCCUUGGGACAGUUCUGUGUGGGCACCAGCAACUGCUGAGUUCUUUCGGCAGCUAUCAGAGGGCUGCCUGCCCUUUAAGCCUCAACAGAAUAAAAGGGGUUUCUACAGAGAGCCAGAGCUGGGGCAGUCAGGAAGAAAAUGGCAGUGAAGACAACUGUUCUGGAGGGGCACUUGGGACUUCACAAAACCAUUUGGGAGAAAAUAAGGAAGUUUGGCUUUCCUGCAGAAUGAAUGGAAGCAGAGCCAACCAAUUACUCUUUCGCAACUGUUGUUGCAGUCCCUUAUUUACUGUGAAGGACGCUGUUGCCUGAAAAACAGGUCUACAAACUAAGAGGAUUUAUUGCUAAGGUAUCUGUGAAGCUCUUUAAAAUCUGUUAAAUAUAAAAAUUUAUAAAAUAUGCACACACACACACCCACACUCCCCAAAUGCAAUUUAACUACCUGAGUCAGAGUGUAUUUUUUUUUAAUAUAAAAGUUAAAACUAAGUACACAGAUGCCAGAAGUCCCUUUCAUUACACCUCAUCUAUUAGAAAUAUAAACCUCAACCAACUUGUUUUUCAACUUCCUUUUGUCGUUAAUGAUGGGACUGGUGAUUUUGAAUGUAUGCCUAAAUUUUUGUUUUAGAAUUUAACUGGACAAAUCUGAUUUCUUGCCAGGUUUAUCAACUCUUUGAGUUCUAGUUACGGAGCUACCUCUUUCUGAAUUUCACUCCACCUAACUUCCUUUUCACUGUUCCAUUUCUGAUGCUCAACUGGCUAUUUCAUCUUUACUCAACCUUUCUUACAGUGUGUACUAUGACUGGCUCUUUUAUGUUAAAAGUGAGUUUUGCAUUUUUUAGUAGGAUAACUCUUCCCUUAUCUCUAGAUGCAGAACAAAAUCUAAAUGGAUCUGUCAAGAGACACCCUAGCCCCAGAACAAUACUUGUUCAAUGAAGGUUAUGGACAGAAUGACUAAUAGGCUUUUUAUCACCAUGGAGUCUUCAUUCAUUCAACAAGUAUUUAUUGAGCAUUAGGUGUCAGCCAGUACACUAGGCACUGUAAUAAUAAAUACUAUCUCUUUACUCUUGGUGCUUAAGCUAUUGAGAAAGACAGUAUUAAACAAUGUUUAAGUAUUAUGCAUAUUAAGAUAGGGGAAUAUUCAGCUGUCAUCUGUACAGUUAUGGUUUUUCAUUUUUUAGGUGGGGGAAGUCAUAGACUCCUUGCAUUUGAUCAAUGUCAUAGACCUUUGCCCUAGAAAACAAACAUACCCUCAAAAUCUUGCCAAUAAUUUCAAGUUAUUCAUGUGUCCUUUUGAAGCCUUUCCAUGCACUCUGGGUUUAGGAUUCCUACCAUGAAUGAAAAACACUAAAAUCAGAUGAAACCAGAAGAAGCAGGAAUCCUAAAAUAUAUGAAGGGGAAGAGAGACAAGGUGCUGAGGAGUAAGAGCAGCAAGAAUGAAAAAUACGUUUCCACAGAUUUAUUUUAACAUGUGUUAUCCCCAGCCAACAUACAUAAUUAAUGCUUCCUGGAACAAUCCCCUAUGGAGGAACCAAUGCCCCACCAAGUGAACCUUUCCCUCCCAACAAGAACACUUUAAGAAGCUACCAGCUCCUUCACCUUUAUAGCAACAUGAUGAGUGGUAAGGCGUGCUACAAAUCAAAACUAAGCAGGAUAAGGGGGAUGGACAGUUACUGGGACUUUGUGUGUUUGUGUUAUUUUAUAUAGUUAUACAGACUAUCAAGGAGGCCUUCUCUGAUAAAGUGAUAUUUGAGAAGAAAAUUGUAGAAGUAGGGGAGCAAACCAUGUGGUUUUCUAGGAGAGCUGUUAGGGCAAAGGGAGCAGCAAAAGGGAGGAGGCCAGUGGGCAAAGCAGAGUGAGUAAGGUGAGAGAAUGGUAGGAAAUGAGGCCAGAGAGGGAGAUGUAUGUGUGUCAGGUGUCCCAGGGUUGAGGUGAAAGGGUCAGGGGUAAGAGAUAGAAUCUGAGGGGACCAGACUCUGAUGGGAUCAUAGAAUGAAUGCUAUUAGCAAUGGGAAAACUGCUCAGUGAAACCCAGCAGGUGUUUUGCAUUGCAAUACCCACAACAGCACAAAUGCUGAAGUGGAGGAGUGGUUAGCCAUAUUGGAUAAUGGAGAGAGGCUUACUGAGCUUUACCUUACCAAGGUAAGGGUCCAUGUGUGUUAAAUGUGGACACCCCCUCUGUGUGUGUGUUCGAGGGGGUGGGAAUAGGGUGGAGCCCGGAAACUGAAAGAACAAUGGGGAAAAUACUUAGGGAAGCGGUCAGAAAACAGAAGGCUAGGAUAUCUUCAGUGGGAAGAGCUCAGAAAUAGAGAAAAGGAAAAGGAUCAGGAAAGAAGGGAAGGGAGUAAGGAACCAAUACAUGUCAAAUGUCCACAAUUUUCCAGGAUCUUGACAUAUAUAUUUUAAUUUGGCUUUCAAGCAAUACUAUGAGAUGGGUGUUAUUGUCCCCAUCUUAUAGAUAAGAAAAUUUCAGACCCAGAAAAAUUAAGUAAAUUGACAAGGCGAUACACUACUAGUAAAGAGUAGGAGAGGCAACUUUAUUAUUUUGUCGUCAGUUAUUACCUAUUUUCUUAUGUUGUUGUAUUGAUUCAUUCCUAAUAAUAUAUUUGGAGAAACAAAAUUAUGUUACAAUUAGGAAGACAACAAAAGUGCAAAGUAUUAGGUAUGGUUAUAAUUUUGCUUAUUGGGCUCUCCUCACUGUUGGAUUACACACCUGGCCUUACAAAAUAAUGCCACAAGAUGGCAGCAUCUUACUCAUUGGUUUGGGGACCACUCAGGUUCCAUGGAUAACUGUUUCAAUAAAAAUAUUGAAUAAAAAUUUUAGGAUUGCUUGUUCUAGCUUCGAGGAGAACGCUGGUGCAAUUUUGAUUGGGAUUGCAGUGAAUGUGUAGAUAGCUUUGGGUAGUAUUGACAUUUUAACAAUAUUUAUUCUUCCAACCCAUGAGCACGGAAUGUUUUUCCAUUUCUUUGUAUCUUCAAUUUCCUUCAUAAGCUUUCUAUAGAUUUCAGCAUACAGAUCUUUUACAUCUUUGGUUAGGUUUAUUCCUAGGUAUUUUAUGCUUCUUGGUGCAUUGUGAAUGGGAUCAGUUUCUUUAUUUGUCUUUCUCUUGCUUCAUUAUUAGUGUAUAAGAAUGCAA
Long non-coding RNA from Neofelis nebulosa (Clouded leopard), 4992 nucleotides. RefSeq lists it as uncharacterized. The record is from RefSeq and is a predicted model, not a curated record. Lineage: Eukaryota; Metazoa; Chordata; Mammalia; Carnivora; Felidae. The transcript has 2 exons.